UGUGUGUGUGUGUGUGUGUGUGUGUGUGUGUGUGUGUCUGUCUGUGUCUGUGUCUGUGUCUGACCGCGGUAGCGAACGUUCGUCUGUACACUCGUACACACGCACGCACGCACGCACACA
Non-coding RNA from Cinara cedri, 120 nucleotides. The record is from the annotation of a GenBank genome assembly. Lineage: Eukaryota; Metazoa; Arthropoda; Insecta; Hemiptera; Aphididae.